AUUGAACGCUGGCGGCAUGCUUUACACAUGCAAGUCGAACGGCAGCGGGGUAGUGCUUGCACUACUGCCGGCGAGUGGCGAACGGGUGAGUAAUAUAUCGGAACGUACCGAGUAAUGGGGGAUAACCAAUCGAAAGAUUGGCUAAUACCGCAUACGUCCUAAGGGAGAAAGCGGGGGAUCGCAAGACCUCGCGUUAUUCGAGCGGCCGAUAACUGAUUAGCUAGUUGGUGGGGUAAAGGCCUACCAAGGCGACGAUCAGUAGCGGGUCUGAGAGGACGAUCCGCCACACUGGGACUGAGACACGGCCCAGACUCCUACGGGAGGCAGCAGUGGGGAAUUUUGGACAAUGGGGGCAACCCUGAUCCAGCCAUGCCGCGUGUAUGAAGAAGGCCUUCGGGUUGUAAAGUACUUUUGUUAGGGAAGAAAAGGGAAGUGCUAAUACCACUUUUUGCUGACGGUACCUAAAGAAUAAGCACCAGCUAACUACGUGCCAGCAGCCGCGGUAAUACGUAGGGUGCGAGCGUUAAUCGGAAUUACUGGGCGUAAAGCGAGCGCAGACGGUUACUUAAGCAGGAUGUGAAAUCCCCGGGCUUAACCUGGGAACUGCGUUCUGAACUGGGUAGCUAGAGUAUGUCAGAGGGGGGUAGAAUUCCACGUGUAGCAGUGAAAUGCGUAGAGAUGUGGAGGAAUACCGAUGGCGAAGGCAGCCCCCUGGGAUGAUACUGACGUUCAUGCUCGAAAGCGUGGGUAGCAAACAGG
Molecule: ribosomal RNA, 759 nt
Filed under: uncultured Eikenella sp.
Lineage: Bacteria; Pseudomonadati; Pseudomonadota; Betaproteobacteria; Neisseriales; Neisseriaceae
Description: bacterial SSU rRNA
Rfam family: Bacterial small subunit ribosomal RNA
Source: RNAcentral